AGAGCCAUCGGAUUUGUGAAAUAGAUGGAAGCAUGCCCCAUGCUAAGAAGGGUUGCUGAGAAGAGGAGCAACAUCAGAGACCUGAAUAAGAACAUCUGUCAACUCUCACCUCCUAUUAAACACUGGGAGGAUUAAACAGCUUGCUUACAACAAGCCCAGGCUCAACAUGACUUCUGCAAACAUGGGAGCCCAGUCCUUAAUGGAAUUUGAAAACAUGCUUCUACAAGAAAAUGAAUAGAUUUCUAGCUAGUAAGUUCUGAUUAUUUGUUAUUAUUUAGGAUGUACACAGCAGAGAGUGCAUUAAAUAUGCAAAAAUCCUA
Mesocricetus auratus (golden hamster) is the source of this 320-nucleotide long non-coding RNA. RefSeq lists it as uncharacterized. The transcript has 2 exons. NCBI's taxonomy places the organism in Eukaryota, Metazoa, Chordata, Mammalia, Rodentia, Cricetidae. The record is from RefSeq and is a predicted model, not a curated record.